RNAcentral lists this ribosomal RNA (1235 nucleotides) under metagenome. RNAcentral describes it as "bacterial LSU rRNA". It matches the Rfam family "Bacterial large subunit ribosomal RNA", at positions 1564 to 2808 of the family's 2925-position model. The record is from RNAcentral.
UGAAUACGAGACGCUACGGCGUCGAAGCAGUCUAUGUCAUACUUCCAAGAAAAGCUCGCAAUGUCAUAAACAAAUAAUGCCUGUACCAUAACCGACACAGGUGGGUAGGUAGAGUAUACUAAGGGGCGCGAGAUAACUCUCUCUAAGGAACUCGGCAAAAUGACUCCGUAACUUCGGGAGAAGGAGUGCCUUAUUUAUAAGGUUGCAAUAACAAGAUCCAAGCAACUGUUUAUCAAAAACACAGGUCUCCGCUAAGUCGUAAGACGAUGUAUGGGGGCUGACGCCUGCCCAGUGCCAGAAGGUUAAAGAAGUUGGUUAGCAUUCGCGAAGCUGAUAACUGAAGCCCUGGUGAACGGCGGCCGUAACGAUAACGGUCCUAAGGUAGCGAAAUUCCUUGUCGGGUAAGUUCCGACCCGCACGAAAGGCGUAAUGAUUUGGAUACUGUCUCGGAGAGGGGCUCGGCGAAAUAGACUUGUCUGUGAAGAUGCGGACUACCUGCACCUGGACAGAAAGACCCUAUGAAGCUUUACUGUAACUUGAAAUUGAAAUUGGACUUUAUUUGCGCAGCAUAGGUGGGAGGCGUUGAGAGUAUUCUUGCGGGAAUAUUGGAGCCAUCAGUGAGAUACCACUCUUGUAAUGUUAGAUUUCUAACUUUGGAUCAUUAUCUGGUCAAAGAACAGUUUCAGGCGGGCAGUUUGACUGGGGCGGUCGCCUCCCAAAUGGUAACGGAGGCGUACAAAGGUUUCCUCUGAACGGGUAGAAAUCGUAUCUAGAGUGUAAAGGCAUAAGGAAGCUUGACUGUGAGACCUACAAGUCGAGCAGGGACGAAAGUCGGUCUUAGUGAUCUGACGGUGCUGAGUGGAAAGGCCGUCACUCAACGGAUAAAAGUUACUCUAAGGAUAACAGGCUGAUCUCCCCCAAGAGUUCACAUCGACGGGGAGGUUUGGCACCUCGAUGUCGGCUCAUCGCAUCCUGGGGCGGUAGUACGUCCCAAGGGUUGGGCUGUUCGCCCAUGAAAGCGGUACGCGAGCUGGGUUCAGAACGUCGUGAGACAGUUCGGUCCAUAUCCGGUGUAGGCGUUAGAAUAUUGAGAGGAGCCUUCUUUAGUACGAGAGGACCGAGAAGGACAUACCUCUGGUGUACCAGUUAUCGUGCCAACGGUAAACGCUGGGUAGCUAUGUAUGGAGAGGAUAACCGCUGAAAGCAUCUAAGUGGGAAGCCCACCUCAAGAUAAG